RNAcentral lists this unclassified non-coding RNA (251 nucleotides) under uncultured fungus. RNAcentral's name for it is "sequence contains ITS2". Lineage: Eukaryota; Fungi. The record is from RNAcentral.
AACGCACAUUGCGCCCGUUAGCAUUCUAGCGGGCAUGCCUGUUCGAGCGUCAUUUACACCCUCAGGACUUGUUUUCCUGGUGUUGGGGAGCCUGUAGGCAUAGCCUUCAAGUCCCUAAAAGCUAGUGGCGGGUUCUGUCAUAUCCCGAACGUAGUAAUUUUUCUCGUUUAGGGUGUAUGGUUGACCCUAGCCUUACACUAUUUUAUUUCAAAGUUGACCUCGGAUCAGGUAGGAAUACCCGCUGAACUUAA